Long non-coding RNA from Chinchilla lanigera (long-tailed chinchilla), 774 nucleotides. RefSeq lists it as uncharacterized. NCBI's taxonomy places the organism in Eukaryota, Metazoa, Chordata, Mammalia, Rodentia, Chinchillidae. The transcript is spliced from 3 exons. The record is from RefSeq and is a predicted model, not a curated record.
CUGUGUGCCUCUGGGCAAGUUGCUUGAGCUACCUGGAUCUCUGCCUCCAUCCAGCACAGAUGGGAGAUUUCAGUGCCUACCUUCCAGGUGUGGAGAAAUUGAGCUGUCCUCCCUUGUGCAGGUUGAUUGUCUCAGGUAUUAUGUGACAGUGAUGGAAAUCCAACACAGGUGCCUUGGUUACUGUUGACGCACCCUUCACCAUUGCCAUACUGUGUAAAAUACUCAUGGGUGUGACAUCCAUCAUGGUCACAGUUCUCUCCACACUCGUGGGAGGGGGAGAUCCAGGCUGUGCCCAAUGGGGGCCCAGGCCCGAGCUCUCCCUUCCACAGAUGGAAGGAAGAAACUCGAAAUUCACAUAUGUUGCAUCUGAAAGUCUGUUUCCAGGAGGGCUGGUGGAAGGAGCGCGAGGAGACUUUCUCCCCGGGAGAGCAGCUGGGAGAGGAUUUCUGCCUCAUUCCUCCUUCACACAGGGGUAUUUAGGAUGGGUCUGCGGAGAGCACAGCCAGCCACGGUUCAUCUUCCUGUUGACUGUGCUUGCACCAAGAAACAGAAGUUUAAAGAAAGCAUUUUCUAAAAUAAAAACUAAGUCCCUCAAAAGUAUAAAUGUAAGUUGUUAGAUUUUAUUAAACCAGAGCAACAGAAGACCUUCGUGAAGAAGUUUAUUGCCACUUGGUUAAUUGUGAAAUGGCUUGGGCUUAACUGCAGAAGCCUAAAACUCUCAGGUAGCUGUAGUUUCCGUGUGUGGCAGAACUCUUAGGAAGGAAGGGCUUCCAG